RNAcentral lists this ribosomal RNA (485 nucleotides) under Mycobacterium marseillense. RNAcentral's name for it is "bacterial SSU rRNA". It matches the Rfam family "Bacterial small subunit ribosomal RNA", at positions 29 to 516 of the family's 1533-position model. The record is from RNAcentral. Lineage: Bacteria; Bacillati; Actinomycetota; Actinomycetes; Mycobacteriales; Mycobacteriaceae.
CGUGAACGCUGGCGGCGUGCUUAACACAUGCAAGUCGAACGGAAAGGCCCCUUCGGGGGUACUCGAGUGGCGAACGGGUGAGUAACACGUGGGCAAUCUGCCCUGCACUUCGGGAUAAGCCUGGGAAACUGGGUCUAAUACCGGAUAGGACCUUUAGACGCAUGUCUUUUGGUGGAAAGCUUUUGCGGUGUGGGAUGGGCCCGCGGCCUAUCAGCUUGUUGGUGGGGUGAUGGCCUACCAAGGCGACGACGGGUAGCCGGCCUGAGAGGGUGUCCGGCCACACUGGGACUGAGAUACGGCCCAGACUCCUACGGGAGGCAGCAGUGGGGAAUAUUGCACAAUGGGCGCAAGCCUGAUGCAGCGACGCCGCGUGGGGGAUGACGGCCUUCGGGUUGUAAACCUCUUUCACCAUCGACGAAGGUUCGGGUUUUCUCGGAUUGACGGUAGGUGGAGAAGAAGCACCGGCCAACUACGUGCCAGCAGCC